GACGAACGCUGGCGGCGUGCUUAACACAUGCAAGUGGAGCGACGAACCGGGCUUCGGCCCGGGGCAAAGCCGCGAACGGGUGAGUAACACGUGGGUAACCUGCCCCGAUGACCGGGACAACCCGAGGAAACUCGGGCUAAUACCGGAUGUGCUCGCAGCACAUCAGUGGAGCGAGUAAAGGAAGCUUCGGCCUCCGCAUUGGGAUGGGCCCGCGGCCCAUUAGCUUGUUGGUGAGGUAAAAGCUCACCAAGGCAACGAUGGGUAGCUGGUCUGAGAGGACGAUCAGCCACACUGGGACUGAGACACGGCCCAGACUCCUACGGGAGGCAGCAGUGGGGAAUCUUGCGCAAUGCGCGAAAGCGUGACGCAGCAACGCCGCGUGAGGGAAGACGGCCUGG
This 398-nucleotide ribosomal RNA is filed under the name uncultured bacterium. RNAcentral describes it as "bacterial SSU rRNA". It matches the Rfam family "Bacterial small subunit ribosomal RNA", at positions 28 to 419 of the family's 1533-position model. The record is from RNAcentral.